Molecule: ribosomal RNA, 491 nt
Filed under: uncultured bacterium
Lineage: Bacteria
Description: partial 16S ribosomal RNA
Rfam family: Bacterial small subunit ribosomal RNA
Source: RNAcentral
GUGAACGCUGGCGGUAGGCCUAACACCUGCAAGUCGCACGGCAGCACAGUAAGAGCUUGCUCUUACGGGUGGCGAGUGGCGGACGGGUGAGGAAUACAUCGGAAUCUACUUUUUCGUGGGGGAUAACGUAGGGAAACUUACGCUAAUACCGCAUACGACCUACGGGUGAAAGCAGGGGAUCUUCGGACCUUGCGCGAUUGAAUGAGCCGAUGUCGGAUUAGCUAGUUGGCGGGGUAAAGGCCCACCAAGGCGACGAUCCGUAGCUGGUCUGAGAGGAUGAUCGGCCACACUGGAACUGAGACACGGUCCAGACUCCUACGGGAGGCAGCAGUGGGGAAUAUUGGACAAUGGGCGCAAGCCUGAUCCAGCCAUACCGCGUGGGUGAAGAAGGCCUUCGGGUUGUAAAGCCCUUUUGUUGGGAAAGAAAAGCAGCAGGUUAAUACCCCGCUGUUCUGACGGUACCCAAAGAAUAAGCACCGGCUAACUUCGUG